GAAACAGCUUAGAAAAGAUGAGUAAUCUUAGAAUCUUAUUACAGAGAAUCACGGUUGAUGAGAGGUGACAUAAGAGACUAAGAUGAAGAUGGUCUUGGAGCUUCACGAAUUACGAGUAUUUUAUAUAAGUAAUUCACGAUUGACGACCGAUAAAACGUCUGGGUAUAGCUUCCAUUAGUGUACCUAUUGAGGAUAGUAUUGUGAGAUGCUAUCAAAUUAGGGUGGUAACACGUUAAUUAACCAUUGAUUAAUCAACGUCCCUAGG
The sequence is a regulatory RNA element, 265 nucleotides long. It matches the Rfam family "T-box leader". From Rfam's summary of the family: Uncharged tRNA acts as the effector for transcription antitermination of genes in the T-box leader family. The record is from Rfam.